AAACCGCGUCAUGUGUGCAUGUGAUGAUGUCAUGGAGUGGGCAGGGCCCUGUCGCCUGGGAGAUGAUGUAAACAAAAGGCCGAAUUGUAGCGCCCCCUCCAGGCAGUGUGUUCUCUGAGUGGGGGUGCCCUGACAAAGACUGACCGAAGCAUUUAUCUGAUCCCAGAACAGCUGACAGGCUCAUUUCAUUUGCUGAGGAGAACCCAGGGUUGAGAGCUCCAGUAAAGAGACUUUGGUUUAUUCAGUCUCAGUUUCACAGCUCUUGAGUGAUGAAGCUCAGUAGAAAGUGUAAUACCUGGUUUCUCCUGCAGGUGGCGCUGCUCCUGGAGGCAGUGACUCAACCCUCUGGUGUCAGUCUACAUUAUAAAAACAUUAAACUGCAGCAGAGAAAGAUUCAAAUGAAUUUAUUUAGAAACAUUAUUCAACAUUUCUGUGAAUGUGCCAGUGUUAGCCAGCGAGCUAAUCUCCAUCCUCAUGUGUUGUUAAGUCGUCAGCACCUCUGGUUUAAAUAAAGCUUUACUGUGUUGAUUGGUUCAGACAGUGGAGGGCUUUACACUGUAUGUGUGUUUCUUUCUGUUGUCAACAAAGUUUCCUAUUCAAUGAAUAAUGAGCCUGAAACUAUGAUGGUGAAAAUGUUCGGGACCUGGAUUCAGUCAAACGCUGGAGAUGAGCGAUGACAUCAUUCAUAAAUUAAUACUUUAGGUUGAUGGGAUGAAAGCUGUUUCUCAAUGUAUGUGUUAACUUAGAUUUUUUUUUUCUUUUAUACUUUAUGAAAUUCCUGAAAGGUUUUAGUUUUUUUUCAGCACCAUAGUCUGAGAAACGCCAAUAUUUACUUAUACAAAAUGUAUUGUUCCUUAGUGACCAACACACACUACAAUGCAUCUGUACAGCUGACUGUUAUGUGUGGAAAUAACUUUUUAAAUAUGCGUAAGGGACAUCAUGAUUCAAUGGUUGGGGGGGGGGUACAACUAUCUUUGUGAGGACCAGUAUAGGGAAGGCAUUACGUCAAUGAAUGUCCUCACUUGCAGCGAUGACCCGGAAGUGCACCGCUGCAGCAGCGCCCCAGUGUCCGGCUCUCCCCCUUCGGUCACCGGACCUGUGGACCUGAGCGUCUCGGCCUCUGGAGGAACCGGAGGGAUGGAGCUCGACGCGGCUUCACCGGACUCAGCUGAGGAGUUUGGAAACGUUCAAAUCAAAAUGGAGCCGGACGGAGACGUGGAGGUCCAGUCGUAUCCUGUCCUGAAGAAUCUGUUCGUCAAACUGACGGACUGUAGGAUUUGGCUGGAGGGGCGGGACUUCCUGUCUCUGGACCAUCACCCUCAGCUCUGGAACCAGAGAGCGAGCCUGGCCUGCUCAGUGAUUACCGGCAGGAAGAUGGUCUACUGCUCUGAGUGCACCAAAGGCUUCUAUAAGAAGUCUCACCUGGAGGCUCACCUGAGGAUCCACAGAGGACUGAAACCCAAUGAGUGCUGGCAGUGUGGGAAAACCUACCCCACCCUGAUGAGCCUCGUCAUCCAUCAGCACAUCCACAAUCGCAAGGAAGCGUACCAGUGCUCGUACUGCGACAAGACCUUCGCUCUGAAGAGGGACUUGAAGACCCACCACAGGACACACUCUGGGACCAAACCCUUCAAAUGCUGGUUCUGUGGGGACGGCUUCGACGAGCGGCAGGAGCUCACCGAGCACCUGGAGGUGCACAAGGGGGAGAAGUGUUAUCGCUGCAAAGUCUGUGACAAGAUGUUCGUCUCCUACCAGGGCUUCAACUUCCACCGCAAAUCGCACAAGAACCAGAAGCUGCUGUCCUGCCCCAAAUGCAUGAAGACCUUCAGCAACCCUCAGAGUCUGAAGAUCCAUCAGGUGACACACUCCAAAAGGAAACCGCAUAAAUGCCCCACGUGUGGAAAAGGCUUCAAGCUGCAGAGCGGCCUGCACUGCCACCUGAGGACCCAUGAGGACCUCAGGGCCUACCGCUGCACCGAGUGCGGCAAAUGUUUCUCCAGCCUGCAGGGUCUGAAACUGCACAACCGCACACACACCGGACUGAAGCCCUACAAGUGCACUGAGUGUGGGAAGAGGUUCACCCAGUCCCCCCACCUCAAGUCUCACAUAGUCACACAUACUGGAGAGCGGCCGUUCCUCUGCACCACCUGCGGCAAGAGAUUCACUCAGUCGUCUCACCUGAAGUCCCACAUCACGCUGUUCCACGUGGGCGAGAAGCCGUUCACCUGUGACGACUGCGGAAAGAGCUUCACCAUCGCCCACUACCUGAAGAUGCACCGGCUGAGCCACACCAAAGAAAAGCUGCAUCAGUGCUCGUACUGCGAGAAGUCCUUCUCCUACCACAACUCCUGGAGGGCCCAUGAGCGGAUCCACACCGGCGAGCGCCCGUUCACCUGCCAGGACUGUGGCCAGAGCUUCAUCACCUCAGGCUCGCUGCUGAGCCACCAGAGAUCCAAACACACCGGAGAGAAGAACCACUACUGCUUCACCUGCGGAGAGUUCUUCUUCACCAGCUCGCUGCUGCGGCUCCACCAGCUCGACCACACCGGCGAGCGGCCGCAUGCCUGCAUCUGUGGCAAGAGCUUUAAAACUAAAGGAGUGCUGCGCUACCACCUGAAGAGGUUCACCGACCACAGACCCACUGAGUGAAGGGCUGUGUGGAAAAUCUGAAUCCCUGAAAACACAAAGGAUGGAGAGACGGGUGCAUGCAGUUUGCCAGCAGGUGGAGCUGCAGCAGUGAUGGAUCAUGAAGAUGCUCUGAAACACAUCGAUGCCAUUGUAGUCUAAACUCCUGACAUGUUGAUUUGACCCAGGCUGACAUCACUGCCGGAUGAAUUCAUCUCCUUUUAUUUUGAAAAGGAAUCAGACUGCAGAUUCAUAAUAAACCUCUUUAAAAAAAACAAGAUUUUACGUUCACUGGUGAAUAAGAUGAUAAAAAGAACUGUUCAUAAAAACAUGACAAAAGGUUUGUCCUCAUACUGAUGCAUGUUUACUGAUGAUCACUUUGUAAUCGUUUAAAAACAGAACAUUUUAAUUGAGUGUCGUCAAACAUGAAUGUUUCACCACAUCUCAAAGAAUCUGCAGCUGUAGAAACACGACCGGACACAAGAACAACUAGAUCCUAAAGAAUCAAGCAAUCACAUUUUAUAUGUGUAGUCUCAUAUCUCAGUUUGUCUCAUGGUCUUUAACAAGGUGAGACGUCCUCUGUUCUUCAGCAAGAGUCAAACUAUUAAAACCUUUAACAGGUGAAGAAGGUAGAAACCUCAGACAUGUGAGGAUCCGUCUUCCAGGACGGACACUAGUCCAACAGAUGUCCCGUGUCACAGAGGACAUCAGAGAGAUCAGAGUCUUUACAGCUUUGGUUAGAAUAAACACUUUGAAGCAGAACUGAAGGUCAAUGACCUGAUGGAUUAUUGUCAGUAGUGGUCGAGUCUCUGAGGAGAAAUAUAUAUCAAGCCGUCUUGUUGUGAUCAUAGUCCCCGGUCAGGAUCCACCAACGUCCAGUCAUUAUCCACAUCUGCAGCUUCAGGUGCGUCCCUGUCCUGGAGCAGGGACCUGUUACCCUGGACUUGUUGGUCCAGAUGCUGGUCUGGAGACUUUUUAAUGACACCAGUUGCUUUGUUUCUCAGAGUUGAACCCAUGACUCAUUUUGGGGUUCUGAUGCCUCCAUACAAAAACACAUCCAUCUGUGUCAUCCUGUUCUUGUCUUUCACAAUAAAAGCUCAAACCUGUA
RNA transcript from Platichthys flesus (European flounder), 3733 nucleotides. It is a transcript of the gene named zinc finger protein 664-like, with no coding region annotated. The transcript is spliced from 4 exons. The record is from RefSeq and is a predicted model, not a curated record. Lineage: Eukaryota; Metazoa; Chordata; Actinopteri; Pleuronectiformes; Pleuronectidae.